UAUCUAUGGAUGCAGCUACUGACUUGUGCAUUGUCUAUAAAAGUUCGAGGGAGUCGGAUACUCCCACUCCUGGUAUCUGUACUAAGUUUCCAAAACACCCAAUAGCUGGACUCAAAUUCCUCCAGAAUUGCGUAUUGCGUAUUGCGUAUUAAUAGGUACAUGUAUACGUAAUUAUGCAAAGUAAUAAUAUUGUUGAUUUUUCUCUGCAGUUAUAGUUAGCCCAAUUAAUCAUCAAGGCAUCUCCAUUCUGUUCAGUAACACAUUACAUGAUGGUCUCAAGCAUCAGGACCCCUGUGUGCCCCCCUGGUGCUCUACUUUUUGGAUCCCGUUCAUGCGGCCAUGCAGAUCCACCUCUGUGCAAAAGAGUUCUGAGAACCUCCUCUAUAUGCAAGCACAGCACCAACAAGGUGUUCGAUUUGAAGGGCUCCAUGAGAAGUCGAUCCAUUGAUUCGUCUAAAGAGAGUAGUGGGGACGUACUGUUGGAUGAGAACUACCUUCAAUAUAUACGUGUUACUUAUUUAAACUAACUGUCAGCUGAUUAGUAGCACACGAUUUAGAAGCCUGCAUGUAGUAUCUCGAGUAUAGCAAGUGUCCGAGUCCUAUAAUAUAUUAAUAACGUGUUCUCCCCCUCCAGCAAUUUGCUGCAACCCAGUGUACGUGUACCCUCACUCCAAGUGUGUACUGAUGCAGGCCAUACUAGCCGACACUAAGUUCUUGACACAGAACGCCAUCAUGGACUACUCUCUACUCACUUGCAUUGAUGAUUCCACGGGAGAACUUGUCGUCGGAAUUAUUGCAGAUUUCAUGGACUCUUUAUAAGCACGGAAAAGUGAUGAUGAAGAAGUUUAUCAAGGAGCAGUGGCAAGGAUCGAGAUUCUGGAGGGAACA
This is a long non-coding RNA of Halichondria panicea, 888 nucleotides long. RefSeq lists it as uncharacterized. The record is from RefSeq and is a predicted model, not a curated record. The transcript is spliced from 3 exons. NCBI's taxonomy places the organism in Eukaryota, Metazoa, Porifera, Demospongiae, Suberitida, Halichondriidae.